This 880-nucleotide ribosomal RNA is filed under the name uncultured bacterium. Its description in RNAcentral is "bacterial SSU rRNA". It matches the Rfam family "Bacterial small subunit ribosomal RNA", at positions 26 to 916 of the family's 1533-position model. The record is from RNAcentral.
AGACGAACGCUGGCGGCGUGCUUAACACAUGCAAGUCGAACGGUGAACAAGGAGCUUGCUUCUUGGGAUCAGUGGCGAACGGGUGAGUAACACGUGAGUAACCUGCCCUUGACUCUGGGAUAAGCGUUGGAAACGACGUCUAAUACCGGAUAUGUACUGCGACCGCAUGGUCUGUAGUUGGAAAGAUUUUUUGGUCAAGGAUGGACUCGCGGCCUAUCAGCUUGUUGGUGAGGUAAUGGCUCACCAAGGCGACGACGGGUAGCCGGCCUGAGAGGGUGACCGGCCACACUGGGACUGAGACACGGCCCAGACUCCUACGGGAGGCAGCAGUGGGGAAUAUUGCACAAUGGGCGCAAGCCUGAUGCAGCAACGCCGCGUGAGGGAUGACGGCCUUCGGGUUGUAAACCUCUUUUAGUAGGGAAGAAGCGAAAGUGACGGUACCUGCAGAAAAAGCACCGGCUAACUACGUGCCAGCAGCCGCGGUAAUACGUAGGGUGCAAGCGUUGUCCGGAAUUAUUGGGCGUAAAGAGCUCGUAGGCGGUUUGUCGCGUCUGCUGUGAAAACUGGAGGCUCAACCUCCAGCCUGCAGUGGGUACGGGCAGACUAGAGUGCGGUAGGGGAGAUUGGAACUCCUGGUGUAGCGGUGGAAUGCGCAGAUAUCAGGAAGAACACCGAUGGCGAAGGCAGAUCUCUGGGCCGUAACUGACGCUGAGGAGCGAAAGCGUGGGGAGCGAACAGGAUUGAUACCCUGGUAGUCCACGCCGUAAACGUUGGGAACUAGAUGUGGGGACCAUUCCACGGUCUCCGUGUCGCAGCUAACGCAUUAAGUUCCCCGCCUGGGGAGUACGGCCGCAAGGCUAAAACUCAAAUGAAUUGACGG